Molecule: small nuclear RNA, 24 nt
Filed under: Arabidopsis thaliana (thale cress)
Lineage: Eukaryota; Viridiplantae; Streptophyta; Magnoliopsida; Brassicales; Brassicaceae
Description: snRNA_02285
Source: RNAcentral
UUUUCUCAUCUGUGGUGUCGUAGC